UACGGAGGGUGCAAGCGUUAUCCGGAUUCACUGGGUUUAAAGGGUGUGUAGGCGGGCUCGUAAGUCAGUGGUGAAAUCUCCGGGCUCAACCCGGAAACUGCCAUUGAUACUAUGGGUCUUGAAUUUUGUUGAGGUUGGCGGAAUAAGUCAUGUAGCGGUGAAAUGCAUAGAUAUGACUUAGAACACCGAUUGCGAAGGCAGCUAGCUAAACAAAUAUUGACGCUGAGGCACGAAAGCGUGGGGAUCAAACAGG
RNAcentral lists this ribosomal RNA (253 nucleotides) under uncultured prokaryote. RNAcentral's name for it is "partial 16S ribosomal RNA". It matches the Rfam family "Bacterial small subunit ribosomal RNA", at positions 524 to 776 of the family's 1533-position model. The record is from RNAcentral.